UCCGGUUUGUCACCGGCAGUCUCAUUAGAGUGCCCAACUGAAUGUAGCAACUAAUGACAAGGGUUGCGCUCGUUGCGGGACUUAACCCAACAUCUCACGACACGAGCUGACGACAGCCAUGCAGCACCUGUGUUCCGAUUCCCUUUCGGGCACACCUGGAUCUCUCCAGGCUCUCGGACAUGUCAAGGGUAGGUAAGGUGGGGAUGACGUUACGCAACUAACCA
This 224-nucleotide unclassified non-coding RNA is filed under the name uncultured Gammaproteobacteria bacterium. Its description in RNAcentral is "contains 16S-23S intergenic spacer region". Lineage: Bacteria; Pseudomonadati; Pseudomonadota; Gammaproteobacteria. The record is from RNAcentral.